UCUAGCCAUAGGGCAGACUGAGCAAGGGAAAGGUUGUUUAGAAGCAAAAGGAAAAGAUAAACAAGAAAUACAUUUCAUAUGUGCAAAAGGAAUAUGACCAAGUCACAGGUGCCAAAUGUAAUUCAUAUCAGAAUUCAAAUCAUUAUUACAAUUGGGACUAGUUACAUGUAAGGAAGAUGAAACAGUUUUAUUAUCAGACAGCAUUGUAUCAUUACAAGUA
This 220-nucleotide long non-coding RNA is filed under the name Nicotiana benthamiana. RNAcentral describes it as "long non-coding RNA (NBEN_LNC000616)". The record is from RNAcentral. Lineage: Eukaryota; Viridiplantae; Streptophyta; Magnoliopsida; Solanales; Solanaceae.